This 460-nucleotide ribosomal RNA is filed under the name uncultured bacterium. Its description in RNAcentral is "partial 16S ribosomal RNA". It matches the Rfam family "Bacterial small subunit ribosomal RNA", at positions 338 to 795 of the family's 1533-position model. The record is from RNAcentral.
CCUACGUGAGGCAGCAGUGAGGAAUAUUGGUCAAUGGGCUUACGCCUGAACCAGCCAAGUCGCGUGAGGGAAGACUGCCCUAUGGGUUGUAAACCUCUUUUGUCAGGGAGCAACGCCGGCUACGUGUAGCCGGACUGAGAGUACCUGCAGAAAAAGCAUCGGCUAACUCCGUGCCAGCAGCCGCGGUAAUACGGAGGAUGCGAGCGUUAUCCGGAUUUAUUGGGUUUAAAGGGUGCGUAGGCGGAAUGCCAAGUCAGCGGUAAAAUCGCGGGGCUCAACCUCGCUCCGCCGUUGAAACUGGCGUUCUGGAGUGGGCGAGAAGUAGGCGGAAGGCGUGGUGUAGCGGUGAAAUGCAUAGAUAUCACGCAGAACUCCGAUUGCGAAGGCAGCAUACCGGCGCCCAACUGACGCUGAAGCACGAAAGCGUGGGUAUCGAACAGGAUUAGAUACCCGAGUAGUC